Molecule: microRNA, 22 nt
Filed under: Mus musculus (house mouse)
Lineage: Eukaryota; Metazoa; Chordata; Mammalia; Rodentia; Muridae
Description: mmu-miR-6364
Source: miRBase by way of RNAcentral
UCGAUCCCCAGCACUCCUGUGA